UGGGGAAUAUUGGACAAUGGGCGCAAGCCUGAUCCAGCCAUGCCGCGUGAGUGAUGAAGGCCCUAGGGUUGUAAAGCUCUUUCACCGGUGAAGAUAAUGACGGUAACCGGAGAAGAAGCCCCGGCUAACUUCGUGCCAGCAGCCGCGGUAAUACGAAGGGGGCUAGCGUUGUUCGGAUUUACUGGGCGUAAAGCGCACGUAGGCGGACUUUUAAGUCAGGGGUGAAAUCCCGGGGCUCAACCCCGGAACUGCCUUUGAUACUGGAAGUCUUGAGUAUGGUAGAGGUGAGUGGAAUUCCGAGUGUAGAGGUGAAAUUCGUAGAUAUUCGGAGGAAAACCAGUGGCGAAGGCGACUCACUGGACCAAUACUGACGCUGAGGUGCGAAAGCGUGGGGAGCAAACAGU
Molecule: ribosomal RNA, 404 nt
Filed under: Actinomycetes bacterium
Lineage: Bacteria; Bacillati; Actinomycetota; Actinomycetes
Description: Actinobacteria bacterium partial 16S ribosomal RNA
Rfam family: Bacterial small subunit ribosomal RNA
Source: RNAcentral